Molecule: ribosomal RNA, 1373 nt
Filed under: uncultured bacterium
Lineage: Bacteria
Description: bacterial SSU rRNA
Rfam family: Bacterial small subunit ribosomal RNA
Source: RNAcentral
GAUGAACGCUGGCGGCGUGCCUAAUACAUGCAAGUCGAGCGAACGGACGAGAAGCUUGCUUCUCUGAUGUUAGCGGCGGACGGGUGAGUAACACGUGGAUAACCUACCUAUAAGACUGGGAUAACUUCGGGAAACCGGAGCUAAUACCGGAUAAUAUUUUGAACCGCAUGGUUCAAAAGUGAAAGACGGUCUUGCUGUCACUUAUAGAUGGAUCCGCGCUGCAUUAGCUAGUUGGUAAGGUAACGGCUUACCAAGGCAACGAUGCAUAGCCGACCUGAGAGGGUGAUCGGCCACACUGGAACUGAGACACGGUCCAGACUCCUACGGGAGGCAGCAGUAGGGAAUCUUCCGCAAUGGGCGAAAGCCUGACGGAGCAACGCCGCGUGAGUGAUGAAGGUCUUCGGAUCGUAAAACUCUGUUAUUAGGGAAGAACAUAUGUGUAAGUAACUGUGCACAUCUUGACGGUACCUAAUCAGAAAGCCACGGCUAACUACGUGCCAGCAGCCGCGGUAAUACGUAGGUGGCAAGCGUUAUCCGGAAUUAUUGGGCGUAAAGCGCGCGUAGGCGGUUUUUUAAGUCUGAUGUGAAAGCCCACGGCUCAACCGUGGAGGGUCAUUGGAAACUGGAAAACUUGAGUGCAGAAGAGGAAAGUGGAAUUCCAUGUGUAGCGGUGAAAUGCGCAGAGAUAUGGAGGAACACCAGUGGCGAAGGCGACUUUCUGGUCUGUAACUGACGCUGAUGUGCGAAAGCGUGGGGAUCAAACAGGAUUAGAUACCCUGGUAGUCCACGCCGUAAACGAUGAGUGCUAAGUGUUAGGGGGUUUCCGCCCCUUAGUGCUGCAGCUAACGCAUUAAGCACUCCGCCUGGGGAGUACGACCGCAAGGUUGAAACUCAAAGGAAUUGACGGGGACCCGCACAAGCGGUGGAGCAUGUGGUUUAAUUCGAAGCAACGCGAAGAGCCUUACCAAAUCUUGACAUCCUUUGACAACUCUAGAGAUAGAGCCUUCCCCUUCGGGGGGGCAAAGUGACAGGUGGUGCAUGGUUGUCGUCAGCUCGUGUCGUGAGAUGUUGGGUUAAGUCCCGCAACGAGCGCAACCCUUAAGCUUAGUUGCCAUCAUUAAGUUGGGCACUCUAAGUUGACUGCCGGUGACAAACCGGAGGAAGGUGGGGAUGACGUCAAAUCAUCAUGCCCCUUAUGAUUUGGGCUACACACGUGCUACAAUGGACAAUACAAAGGGCAGCGAAACCGCGAGGUCAAGCAAAUCCCAUAAAGUUGUUCUCAGUUCGGAUUGUAGUCUGCAACUCGACUACAUGAAGCUGGAAUCGCUAGUAAUCGUAGAUCAGCAUGCUACGGUGAAUACGUUCCCGGGUCU